RNAcentral lists this ribosomal RNA (274 nucleotides) under uncultured bacterium. RNAcentral describes it as "partial 16S ribosomal RNA". It matches the Rfam family "Archaeal small subunit ribosomal RNA", at positions 473 to 747 of the family's 1478-position model. The record is from RNAcentral.
AAGCCAGCACCUCAAGUGGUCAGGAGGAUUAUUGGGCCUAAAGCAUCCGUAGCCUGUUCUAUAAGUUUCCGGUUAAAUCCAUUAGCUCAACUAAUGGGCUGCCGAAAAUACUGUAGAACUAGGGAGUGGGAGAGGUAGACGGUAUUCGGUAGGAAGGGGUAAAAUCCUUUGAUCUAUUGAGGACCACCUGUGGCGAAGGCGGUCUACCAGAACACGUUCGACGGUGAGGGAUGAAAGCUGGGGGAGCAAACCGGAUUAGAUACCCGAGUAGUCC